This 582-nucleotide long non-coding RNA is filed under the name Astyanax mexicanus (Mexican tetra). RNAcentral describes it as "lncRNA (ENSAMXG00005023777.1)". Lineage: Eukaryota; Metazoa; Chordata; Actinopteri; Characiformes; Acestrorhamphidae. The record is from RNAcentral.
GUAAACCCUUUUGUUUCCGCUUUGUUCUAACGUGCUGUGUCCCUUUUCCUCUUCCAGAUCUCUUUUUUAUAUCUUUAUUUAUUUAUUUAUUUUGUCUUUUUUGGCGACAGAAUCGGCCUAGCCUGCACCCUGAGCCGGCCUUCACGCUACCGCCAGGAGAAGACUGAGACUGCUCCAGUUCAGACCCACGCACUGGUCAGCAGCGUGCCCGCCACCUCACGCCGCCGUCCUGCACCGACAUGCAGUGGACUGCGGCACCCGGGCAGUCGCUGCUCCUGGCAGCAGAGUAAGUCUACCCUUUUUUUUUUCUUUUUGUCUAGUGUGUGUGUGUGUGUGUGUGUGUGUGAUUGAGACUAGGGCUGCCAUGACCUGUUAGUGAGUGACAGUGAUAUGACAGUGCCAUCUUGUUGCUGUGGUUUCAGACAGGGCUUCUGGUGAGGUGCAUUUAUAAAGCUGUGGUUUUUGAGCGUGAGUGUGUGUGUGUGAUAGCUCGUCUCCUUUGCUGACUACAUCGUCUCAGACAGUCUCAGCCAUUACCGGCUGCUGAAUGGCUCUUUUUUUCUCGCUUGGAGCUAAAGACGG